RNAcentral lists this ribosomal RNA (276 nucleotides) under uncultured Pseudomonadales bacterium. Its description in RNAcentral is "partial 16S ribosomal RNA". It matches the Rfam family "Bacterial small subunit ribosomal RNA", at positions 502 to 778 of the family's 1533-position model. Lineage: Bacteria; Pseudomonadati; Pseudomonadota; Gammaproteobacteria; Pseudomonadales. The record is from RNAcentral.
CUUGUGCCAGCAGCCGCGGUAAUACAGAGGGUGCAAGCGUUAAUCGGAAUUACUGGGCGUAAAGCGCGCGUAGGUGGUUCGUUAAGUUGGAUGUGAAAUCCCCGGGCUCAACCUGGGGACUGCAUUCAAAACUGACGAGCUAGAGUAUGGUAGAGGGUGGUGGAUUUCCUGUGUAGCGGUGAAAUGCGUAGAUAUAGGAAGGAACACCAGUGGCGAAGGCGACCACCUGGACUGAUACUGACACUGAGGUGCGAAAGCGUGGGGAGCAAACAGGAU